GAUGAAGAACGUAGCAAAAUGCGAUAAGUAGUGUGAAUUGCAGAAUUCAGUGAAUCAUCGAAUCUUUGAACGCACAUUGCGCCCGCCAGUAUUCUGGCGGGCAUGCCUGUUCGAGCGUCAUUUCAACCAUCAAGCCCCCGGCUUGUGUUGGGGACCUGCGGCUGCCGCAGGCCCUGAAAACCAGUGGCGGGCUCGCUAGUCACUCCGAGCGUAGUAAUACAUCUCGCUCAGGGCGUGCUGCGGGUUCCGGCCGUUAAAAGCCUUAUUUACCCAAGGUUGACCUCGGAUCAGGUAGGAAGACCCGCUGAACUUAAGCAUAUCAAUAAGCGGAGGA
RNAcentral lists this unclassified non-coding RNA (334 nucleotides) under soil metagenome. RNAcentral's name for it is "partial contains 5.8S ribosomal RNA, internal transcribed spacer 2, and large subunit ribosomal RNA". The stretch from base 1 to 120 matches the Rfam family "5.8S ribosomal RNA", at positions 35 to 154 of the family's 154-position model. The record is from RNAcentral.